RNAcentral lists this ribosomal RNA (502 nucleotides) under uncultured bacterium. RNAcentral's name for it is "partial 16S ribosomal RNA". It matches the Rfam family "Bacterial small subunit ribosomal RNA", at positions 29 to 507 of the family's 1533-position model. The record is from RNAcentral.
ACGAACGCUGGCGGCGUGCUUAACACAUGCAAGUCGAACGGUGAAGCGCUUUCCUUUUUGGUUGGUGUGGAUGAGUGGCGAACGGGUGAGUAACACGUGAGUAACCUGCCCCCUUCUUCUGGAUAACCGCAUGAAAGUGUGGCUAAUACGGGAUAUUCUGCGCCUGCUGCAUGGUGGGUGUGGGAAAGAUUGUGCCUUUGGGUGUUUUCGGUGGGGGAUGGGCUCGCGGCCUAUCAGCUUGUUGGUGGGGUGAUGGCCUACCAAGGCGGUGACGGGUAGCCGGCCUGAGAGGGUGGACGGUCACACUGGGACUGAGACACGGCCCAGACUCCUACGGGAGGCAGCAGUGGGGAAUAUUGCACAAUGGGCGCAAGCCUGAUGCAGCGACGCCGCGUGAGGGAUGGAGGCCUUCGGGUUGUGAACCUCUUUCGCCAGUGAAGCAGGCCUGCUCCUUGUGGGUGGGUUGACGGUAGCUGGAUAAGAAGCGCCGGCUAACUACGUG